RNAcentral lists this ribosomal RNA (157 nucleotides) under Curvularia lunata. Its description in RNAcentral is "5.8S ribosomal RNA". It matches the Rfam family "5.8S ribosomal RNA". Rfam says of the family: 5.8S ribosomal RNA (5.8S rRNA) is a component of the large subunit of the eukaryotic ribosome. It is transcribed by RNA polymerase I as part of the 45S precursor that also contains 18S and 28S rRNA. Functionally, it is thought that 5.8S rRNA may be involved in ribosome translocation. The record is from RNAcentral. Lineage: Eukaryota; Fungi; Ascomycota; Dothideomycetes; Pleosporales; Pleosporaceae.
ACAACUUUCAACAACGGAUCUCUUUGGUCUGGGAUCAAGGAAGAACGCAGCGAAAUGCGAUACGUAGUGUGAAUUGCAGAAUUCAGUGAAUCAUCGAAUCUUUGAACGCACAUUGCGCCCUUUGGUAUUCAAGGGCAUGCCUGUUCGAGCGUCAUUU